CUGGGUCACUGCAUUGUGGAAAGGUAUUGCUGCCCCUUGUGGAAAACGUGGCUGUAAAGAGAAGUGAUCUGGGUCCGAUCACGCUGCGCAGAGACAGCACCGUGCUUAAGCGACCAGCUGCCAGCCCCAGGGCUGAGCCUCACCGCGCUGAAACCAGACCAGGGGGCUCCUCAGGGCCACGUCUCAAAGGCAGAGAAUGUGGAAAGUGCCCCCUUGCCUCCAGCACUCUUGCUUCUGUCCCUGUUCUACAGCACCCACCACCCCGUGCUGGGCGAAGGGCCGGAGCGACGCUCAGACCUCCCCCCCCCCCCUCCCCUGUCACAGCCAAGGGUCUCUCCAUUGAAGUUUACUUGACGUUCUAAUAAAAUCUCCAAGC
RNAcentral lists this long non-coding RNA (376 nucleotides) under Gallus gallus (chicken). RNAcentral describes it as "lncRNA (ENSGALG00010029960.1)". The record is from RNAcentral. Lineage: Eukaryota; Metazoa; Chordata; Aves; Galliformes; Phasianidae.